RNAcentral lists this long non-coding RNA (333 nucleotides) under Capsella rubella. RNAcentral's name for it is "long non-coding RNA (CRUB_LNC003426)". Lineage: Eukaryota; Viridiplantae; Streptophyta; Magnoliopsida; Brassicales; Brassicaceae. The record is from RNAcentral.
AAACGCGAAGAUGGUCAAAAUUCAAAUAGACUUUUAAAUAUUAAGAAGACGGCAACGGGUUACGUUAUUCUUCUCCCGUCGAUUCAAUAUGUAAUUACGUUCACAUUUCCUGGUUUUCUUUUCUUUUAUAGAAAAAGGUUUUUUUUUUUUUGAAAGUACGAACUGACGCUGCGUUCUAAAAACAAAUCUGUAAAAGUAGAUAUGGUUUCCCAAUUAAACGUAAGUCUUCUACUCUUUUUUUCAAGCUCGUACAAUACUUCAACAUUUCUAGUCGGAGUCCCAGUGACAUGUGAGGUAUGAACAGUAUACCAAGUUUUUUUUUGCUAAAAACAG